This 902-nucleotide ribosomal RNA is filed under the name uncultured bacterium. RNAcentral describes it as "bacterial SSU rRNA". It matches the Rfam family "Bacterial small subunit ribosomal RNA", at positions 33 to 926 of the family's 1533-position model. The record is from RNAcentral.
ACGCUGGCGGCAGGCUUAACACAUGCAAGUCGAACGGUAACAGGGAUUAGCUUGCUAAUUUGCUGACGAGUGGCGGACGGGUGAGUAAUGCUUGGGAAUCUGGCUUAUGGAGGGGGAUAACUACGGGAAACUGUAGCUAAUACCGCGUAAAAUCUUCGGAUUAAAGGGUGGGACUUUCGAGCCACCUGCCAUAAGAUGAGCCCAAGUGGGAUUAGGUAGUUGGUUAGGUAAAGGCUGACCAAGCCGACGAUCUCUAGCUGGUCUGAGAGGAUGACCAGCCACACUGGAACUGAGACACGGUCCAGACUCCUACGGGAGGCAGCAGUGGGGAAUAUUGCACAAUGGGGGGAACCCUGAUGCAGCCAUGCCGCGUGAAUGAAGAAGGCCUUCGGGUUGUAAAGUUCUUUCGGUGACGAGGAAGGUUGAUAGGUUAAUAGCCUAUCAAAUUGACGUUAAUCACAGAAGAAGCACCGGCUAACUCCGUGCCAGCAGCCGCGGUAAUACGGGGGGUGCGAGCGUUAAUCGGAAUAACUGGGCGUAAAGGGCACGCAGGCGGUGACUUAAGUGAGACGUGAAAGCCCCGAGCUUAACUUGGGAAUUGCAUUUUAUACUGGGUCGCUAGAGUACUUUAGGGAGGGGUAGAAUUCCACGUGUAGCGGUGAAAUGCGUAGAGAUGUGGAGGAAUACCGAAGGCGAAGGCAGCCCCUUGGGAAUGUACUGACGCUCAUGUGCGAAAGCGUGGGGAGCAAACAGGAUUAGAUACCCUGGUAGUCCACGCUGUAAACGAUGUCGAUUUGGGGAUUGGGCUUUGAGCUUGGUGCCCGUAGCUAACGUGAUAAAUCGACCGCCUGGGGAGUACGGCCGCAAGGUUAAAACUCAAAUGAAUUGACGGGGGCCCGCAC